GACGAACGCUGGCGGCGUGCCUAAUACAUGCAAGUCGAACGAGUGGCGGACGGGUGAGUAAUGUCUGGGAAACUGCCUGAUGGAGGGGGAUCACUACUGGAAACGGUAGCUAAUACCGCAUACCAUCGGAUGUGCCCAGAUGGGAUUAGCUAGUGGGGUGGGUAAAGGCUCACCUAGGCGACGAUCCCUAGCUGGUCUGAGAGGAUGACCAGCCACACUGGAGCUGGGACACGGUCCAUACUCCUACGGGAGGCAGCAGGGGGGAAUAUUGCACAAUGGGCGCAAGCCUGAGGCAGCCAUGCCGCGUGUAUGAAGAAGGCCUUCGGGUUGUAAAGUACUUUCAGCGGGGAGGCGUUACCCGCAGAAGAAGCACCGGCUAACUCCGUGCCAGCAGCCGCGGUAAGUC
This 406-nucleotide ribosomal RNA is filed under the name uncultured bacterium. Its description in RNAcentral is "partial 16S ribosomal RNA". It matches the Rfam family "Bacterial small subunit ribosomal RNA", at positions 28 to 526 of the family's 1533-position model. The record is from RNAcentral.